AGUGGACGCUGGCGGUAGGCCUAACACAUGCAAGUCGAACGGCAGCACAGUAAGAGCUUGCUCUUACGGGUGGCGAGUGGCGGACGGGUGAGGAAUACAUCGGAAUCUACUUUUUCGUGGGGGAUAACGUAGGGAAACUUACGCUAAUACCGCAUACGACCUACGGGUGAAAGCAGGGGAUCUUCGGACCUUGCGCGAUUGAAUGAGCCGAUGUCGGAUUAGCUAGUUGGCGGGGUAAAGGCCCACCAAGGCGACGAUCCGUAGCUGGUCUGAGAGGAUGAUCAGCCACACUGGAACUGAGACACGGUCCAGACUCCUACGGGAGGCAGCAGUGGGGAAUAUUGGACAAGGGGCGCAAGCCUGAUCCAGCCAUACCGCGUGGGUGAAGAAGGCCUUCGGGUGGUAAAGCCCUUUUGUUGGGAAAGAAAAGCAGCAGGUUAAUACCCCGCUGUUCUGACGGUACCCAAAGAAUAAGCACCGGCUAACUUCGU
RNAcentral lists this ribosomal RNA (491 nucleotides) under uncultured bacterium. RNAcentral describes it as "partial 16S ribosomal RNA". It matches the Rfam family "Bacterial small subunit ribosomal RNA", at positions 29 to 506 of the family's 1533-position model. The record is from RNAcentral.